UCGAGAAUUUUUCACAAUGGGCGCAAGCCUGAUGGAGCGACGCCGCGUGGGGGAUGAAGGGUUUCGAUCCGUAAACCCCUGUCAUUUGCGAACAAACCUUGAUUGUGAAUAGCGAUCGAGCUGAUUGUAGCGGAAGAGGAGGGGACGGCUAACUCUGUGCCAGCAGCCGCGGUAAUACAGAGGUCCCAAGCGUUGUUCGGACUCACUGGGCGUAAAGGGUGCGUAGGUGGUCGGUGAAGUUCGGUGUGAAAGCUCGGAGCUCAACUCCGAAACGGCAUUGAAAACUCAUCGGCUGGAGGGUCGGAGGGGAGACUGGAAUUCUCGGUGUAGCAGUGAAAUGCGUAGAUAUCGAGAGGAACACCAGUGGCGAAGGCGAGUCUCUGGACGCCUCCUGACACUGAGGCACGAAAGCCAGGGGAGCAAACAG
RNAcentral lists this ribosomal RNA (427 nucleotides) under uncultured bacterium. RNAcentral's name for it is "bacterial SSU rRNA". It matches the Rfam family "Bacterial small subunit ribosomal RNA", at positions 355 to 775 of the family's 1533-position model. The record is from RNAcentral.